Molecule: long non-coding RNA, 375 nt
Organism: Monodelphis domestica (gray short-tailed opossum)
Lineage: Eukaryota; Metazoa; Chordata; Mammalia; Didelphimorphia; Didelphidae
Source: RefSeq, a predicted model, not a curated record
AUGGAGAAUAAUUGGACAAAACUAAAAAUGUUCUGUUACUCUAAAAAAGAACUACAUUUCCUGGGACUUCCUGUCAUUACAUACUUCCUGUAGUCAGGGAAUAAAUUCAGUGGGUGUUUCUGCUCUACAUCUUUGGCCUCCUGGCAAGCAUAGUGGUGGGCAAGUUACUUCUCUGGGCCAUGACUAUCUCCUCUGAAAAAUGAAAGGUUAAGGAGUGGAUUUCUAAGGGCAUCUCUACACUGUGAAAGAGCUUAAUGGAAAAAGCGCAAAUCAAUAGCAAAGCAAAGACAUCUUUUUAUGGCCACCUUGUUAAGUAUGACACUACUAGACAAGAGUUAAAACAUGCAAAAAUAAAGAUAGAUCUCAAAAUACAAA